Molecule: ribosomal RNA, 494 nt
Filed under: uncultured bacterium
Lineage: Bacteria
Description: partial 16S ribosomal RNA
Rfam family: Bacterial small subunit ribosomal RNA
Source: RNAcentral
GAACGCUGGCGGCGUGCCUAAUACCUGCAAGUCGAGCGAACGGACGAGAAGCUUGCUUCUCUGAUGUUAGCGGCGGACGGGUGAGUAACACGUGGAUAACCUACCUAUAAGACUGGGAUAACUUCGGGAAACCGGAGCUAAUACCGGAUGAUAUUUUGAACCGCAUGGUUCAACAGUGAAAGACGGUCUUGCUGUCACUUAUAGAUGGAUCCGCGCUGCAUUAGCUAGUUGGUAAGGUAACGGCUUACCAAGGCAACGAUGCAUAGCCGACCUGAGAGGGUGAUCGGCCACACUGGAACUGAGACACGGUCCAGACUCCUACGGGAGGCAGCAGUAGGGAAUCUUCCGCAAUGGGCGAAAGCCUGACGGAGCAACGCCGCGUGAGUGAUGAAGGUCUUCGGAUCGUAAAACUCUGUUAUUAGGGAAGAACAUAUGUGUAAGUAACUGUGCACAUCUUGACGGUACCUAAUCAGAAAGCCACGGCUAACUACGUG